UUCCUGUUCGUAUAACGGCUAGUAUGCUCGCUUGUCACGUAUGAUCGCGGGAGAUCGGAGUUCGAUUCUCCGACAGGAAG
Molecule: transfer RNA, 80 nt
Filed under: Trichosporon asahii var. asahii CBS 8904
Lineage: Eukaryota; Fungi; Basidiomycota; Tremellomycetes; Trichosporonales; Trichosporonaceae
Description: tRNA-Asp
Source: RNAcentral